Long non-coding RNA from Sapajus apella (tufted capuchin), 127 nucleotides. RefSeq lists it as uncharacterized. NCBI's taxonomy places the organism in Eukaryota, Metazoa, Chordata, Mammalia, Primates, Cebidae. The record is from RefSeq and is a predicted model, not a curated record. The transcript has 2 exons.
UACUUGGGAAGCUAAGGCAGGAGAAUUGCUUGAACCCGGGAGGUGGAGGUUGCAGUGAGCCAAGAUUGCACCAUUGCACAGGCUGGGUGACGAAGUGAAACGCAUCUGAAAAAAGAAAAAGAGAAAC